UAAAUACUUCCUCCAUCACAAAAUGCUUGUCAUAUUAAUGGAUGUAUCUAGAUGUAUUUUAGUUCUAGAUACAUUCAUUUGUAUCCAUUUGUGUGAUAAGUAAUUCCGAACGAAGGGAUUAUAAU
This is a non-coding RNA of Hordeum vulgare subsp. vulgare (domesticated barley), 125 nucleotides long. The record is from Rfam. Lineage: Eukaryota; Viridiplantae; Streptophyta; Magnoliopsida; Poales; Poaceae.